RNAcentral lists this ribosomal RNA (253 nucleotides) under uncultured bacterium. RNAcentral describes it as "partial 16S ribosomal RNA". It matches the Rfam family "Bacterial small subunit ribosomal RNA", at positions 524 to 776 of the family's 1533-position model. The record is from RNAcentral.
UACGUAGGGAGCUAGCGUUGUCCGGAAUCAUUGGGCGUAAAGAGCGUGUAGGCGGUCCGGUAAGUCCGCUGUGAAAGUCGGGGGCUCAACCCUCGAAUGCCGGUGGAUACUGUCGGGCUAGAGUGCGGAAGAGGCGAGUGGAAUUCCUGGUGUAGCGGUGAAAUGCGCAGAUAUCGGGAGGAACACCAGUAGCGAAGGCGGCUCGCUGGGCCAUUCCUGACGCUGAGACGCGAAAGCUAGGGGAGCGAACAGG